This is a long non-coding RNA of Hyaena hyaena (striped hyena), 467 nucleotides long. RefSeq lists it as uncharacterized. Lineage: Eukaryota; Metazoa; Chordata; Mammalia; Carnivora; Hyaenidae. The transcript is spliced from 3 exons. The record is from RefSeq and is a predicted model, not a curated record.
CAAAGCCCUCCCAGGACCAGGCCCUGGACAAGCUUGUAGAGGAACUACGAGUAGCCCCCUAGAGAAUUUACUCUCUGCCUCAGUAAACACGACCAGGAAGCUCACUCCAUGAAGGACUCUUUCCAGGCCAACGGAGGAGGCUGAGGGCCCAGCUAGACCGUCUGGUCCAGACAACCCAGCAGCCCCAGCAUGGAGAGAGGAGGAGCUCAACUUCAUACACACCUCAAGGUUCCUUUUGAAACCAACGUUCCAAAUCUUUAGCUCUUCCAUCUCUAACACGAGGAAGGAACAGGCUACAUAGCCAAGGCCAGGAGAAUGCCUCGAGCACUGAGCUAAAUGACCGCGCGUCACACAGGACCCCGCAUGAACCGAGAGCUGUGGGUACACAGAACUGCACAUGCCAUCCAGUAGUGUUGCAAAUCAUACCUACUUUGAGAGAACAAAACUGCGAUAUUAAUGAAGAAACG